GAUGAAGAACGCAGCAAAAUGCGAUAAGUAAUGUGAAUUGCAGAAUUCAGUGAAUCAUCGAAUCUUUGAACGCACAUUGCGCCCGCUGGUAUUCCGGCGGGCAUGCCUGUUCGAGCGUCAUUUCAACCCUCAAGCCCCCGGGUUUGGUGUUGGGGAUCGGCUCUGCCCUUCUGGGCGGUGCCGCCCCCGAAAUACAUUGGCGGUCUCGCUGCAGCCUCCAUUGCGUAGUAGCUAACUCCUCGCAACUGGAACGCGGCGCGGCCAUGCCGUAAAACCCCAACUUCUGAAUGUUGACCUCGGAUCAGGUAGGAAUACCCGCUGAACUUAAGCAUAUCAAUAAGCGGAGGA
Molecule: unclassified non-coding RNA, 348 nt
Filed under: soil metagenome
Description: partial contains 5.8S ribosomal RNA, internal transcribed spacer 2, and large subunit ribosomal RNA
Rfam family: 5.8S ribosomal RNA (bases 1-120)
Source: RNAcentral